RNAcentral lists this long non-coding RNA (1188 nucleotides) under Struthio camelus australis. RNAcentral's name for it is "lncRNA (ENSSCUG00000013992.1)". Lineage: Eukaryota; Metazoa; Chordata; Aves; Struthioniformes; Struthionidae. The record is from RNAcentral.
UGGGUUCAGGCUUCCUGGGCAGACUUUAUUUUUAGCUAGGAGUGGCAUUUUUCCCUCUGGAAGCUUUCCCUGCUUCACAUCAUGCCGUGAAAGCUGCUUGCUGGCAUUACGCUUCCUCCUCCUCGCUACUAUGUUCCCUCUGCUGACUUUCUAGCCUUCAAAACAUCAGUUUUCUGAUUAAAUUAUCAUGCUGCCCACAGCGAGAGAGAAAAAUGACUCGGUGCAUAGCGUCGUAGGCUGCCGCCGGGGGCCGCAGAGCUGUGCCCGGCUCCGCGCUGCAGCUUUGCACCGCCGCCGAGCUCGCCCGGGGGCAGCUGAGCGUCAAGAGCACCCACGGGACCUCUCCGCGCUGAGCCGGGCCAUGCACCAGUUGGGUACGCUGAGGAGAGGCAAAGGCCUGGCCACCAUCCAGGGUACCUGUGGAGCUCAUGAGUGCCGAAAAAGUAACCUCAACAGCAGAUGUUGCUGGGAUCCCACUGCUCCUGGACGCUCACCUGAGUCAUUGCAGUGAUUACCCCUUCAGAUGAGGGAAUAUGAGUGAAGCCCACGGGCCUGAGGCCCUCGUUUCCAGACAACGUGAGCAGCUGACCUUGUGGAGAAGGGAAGGUGUCUGAGGAGAUACCACAGGUGCCGUUUGCAAGAGAGAGUUGGCACCGGCAGCCGGGCUAGGGAGGAGGUGUGAGGGAGAGCAGCCUCAGCGGCCACCGCCGGCAUACGGUCACUAGGGUUGAGGGAAUAACGACUGAGAGACCCGUUCGGAUGUGCUGAGAAGAGCCGACGAAACGCUUUGCGUCCCUGGGAAUAUUUGUUGCAGGUCCAGCUAUAUACAGCUGCAAAAAUAGUUUUCAUUUCAGCUCAGGAAGGGAGGUGCUGGCUGCAACUGCUGGCAGGGGAAGAGGGAAGGGAGUAGGGCUGAACGUGCUGCACCGAGCAGCGCCCGUCGCUCUCCGUGGGCCGUCCUAGCGGCUGCUGCUGGAGCGUGGCAGAGCCGGAGGAGCUCGGCGGAGGGAAGGCGGUGAGCUGCAUGCAGGUGCUACUUGCCCCUGGGAAAAUCGGUCAGGGUGUAUGUGUGAGGCAGGGGAAGUUGGCAAAGAGGCCAUGCGAGGCCUGGCUGUCCUCAGCGAGGGCGGUGGCAGGCUCCCGUUAGCUAGCGGGAAGGUGCAAGGUGCAGCGCAGCACCCUUUGGGA